RNAcentral lists this transfer RNA (73 nucleotides) under Ovis aries (sheep). It matches the Rfam family "tRNA". Rfam says of the family: Transfer RNA (tRNA) molecules are approximately 80 nucleotides in length. Their secondary structure includes four short double-helical elements and three loops (D, anti-codon, and T loops). Further hydrogen bonds mediate the characteristic L-shaped molecular structure. tRNAs have two regions of fundamental functional importance: the anti-codon, which is responsible for specific mRNA codon recognition, and the 3' end, to which the tRNAs corresponding amino acid is attached (by aminoacyl-tRNA synthetases). tRNAs cope with the degeneracy of the genetic code in two manners: having more than one tRNA (with a specific anti-codon) for a particular amino acid; and 'wobble' base-pairing, i.e. permitting non-standard base-pairing at the 3rd anti-codon position. Lineage: Eukaryota; Metazoa; Chordata; Mammalia; Artiodactyla; Bovidae. The record is from Rfam by way of RNAcentral.
UCCCUGGUGGUCCAGUGGCUAAGACUCCAUGCUCCUAAAGCAGAGGGCCCAGGUUCCUUUCCUGGUCAGGGAA